GAAGAGGUGGCGCUGGCCCUGCCAGCUGUCCCCCAGCCCGUGGACAAACGGGUGCCUGACCUGUCUCUGGGGAUACAAAGCAGAGAGGAAUGCACAGGACCCCGGUACUACACGCGGGAUCCGGGUGGGGUGCAGAGGAACCCCGGUGGAACACAGAGAGACUCGACACGGGGCACGAGGACGUGGUGAGGGUAGAAGGGGACCCGGCGGGACGGCCGGAGACGCCGCUAAGGAUGCACAGGGACCCGUACAGCGUGCGGGGAGAGCUCGGUAAGGCGGUCGGCGGUGCCGGGAUGGUGGCACGGAAUACACGGACGGCGCAGGAGGAUGCUCAGGGCGCUGGGGAACCCCGGUAGGACGUGCAGGAACCCCGAUAGGACGAGCAGGAAUCCCAGUACAGGGUGCGAGGGGACCCGUUAGGGCGCCCGGGGCUGCCGGGGAAGGAUGCGGGAUGCGCGGGCGCCCCAGGAGGACGUUCAGGGACCCCGUUCGGAUGCACCGGGACCCCGUUCGGAGGGUGGGGGCUCCGGGACGGCACCUUGAGCUGCUGCUGGCGGGCGGAGGGGCGGACGGGGAACUCCGGCAGGAACAACGAGACGAGCUGCGGCAGCGGCCACCCGGGCAGAGGCGGCUCCUCGGCGGGGCCCCGCGGGGCCAGGGCGAGCCCCGGUACUGGUACCGAUACCGGCAUCGACCCAGCGCGGCUCAGCAGCGCCCGCACCCACGCCCCCACGGCGCGGCCCUGCGGAACCGAGGACAGCGUCACCCAGGGGAUCCCGGGGCGGGGGAUGCCCGGGGGGACCCCGCGGGAUGAUGCCACCGCACGCACCUGGGGGGGCCGCACCGGGGCCGGGGCCGGGCCGGGGCCGCUGCUCGUUGCUCCCAUCGCGGCGCCGCCCGGCCGCGCCCCGGGCCCGGUCCCCGGUAAUCGCCGCCUUACAUAACCCCGCCGCCCCGCCCCGCCCCGCCCGCCGCGACCACCCCCCGCCCCGGGGCACGGCGGCGGUGCUGCCCCUUGCACCGCGACACCCACCCGUGACUGAUCCCCCACCCUCCGGGACCCCCACCACCACCACUUUGGGGUUGCUCACUCACCCGUGACUGAUCUCGCCCCUGAUCCGGGAUCCCCCCUACACACAUCAGGGUUGCCAGUGCUCCCCAUGACUGAUCCCGCCUCACUCCAGGACCCCUCCUUGCACACUUUGGGGCUCCCUCUUCAACCUUUCUUUUGCACCCCACUUGCUGCAGCCAGCAGGGUGUGCACACAGCCCACACUGAGCCCUGGCAUGGCCCCAGGCACCAAUGGGCUCAUGGAGAAGACCUGAGAGGGCUAAGUGUACAGACUGAGCCCCCAAAGUGGGUUCCCCAAGCAACUCCUGGGGAAGGGCAAGGGAUGAAGCCCCCACAGACAGGGUGCUGUCAGGCUGAGGGAGGGGACAGCACUGAGCCUGACACUGCAGGGAGGUGAGAAGCCACUGGCUCAAGAUUCUUCCAAAUUAAAAACUCUUUUAUUUAAA
Molecule: long non-coding RNA, 1517 nt
Organism: Pseudopipra pipra
Lineage: Eukaryota; Metazoa; Chordata; Aves; Passeriformes; Pipridae
Exons: 2
Source: RefSeq, a predicted model, not a curated record